UGACAGAUUUAUUUUCAGAAAAGCCCACAAGU
This 32-nucleotide non-coding RNA is filed under the name Mus musculus (house mouse). Lineage: Eukaryota; Metazoa; Chordata; Mammalia; Rodentia; Muridae. The record is from RNAcentral.